Long non-coding RNA from Triticum dicoccoides, 1308 nucleotides. RefSeq lists it as uncharacterized. The transcript has 9 exons. NCBI's taxonomy places the organism in Eukaryota, Viridiplantae, Streptophyta, Magnoliopsida, Poales, Poaceae. The record is from RefSeq and is a predicted model, not a curated record.
CACCGGCGAUUAGAUCUGGAGCUCUCGUCCCUGGUUCAGGUUGUUCUUUCUCCCGAUCUCCUCCCAUCCUAGAACGUCCAGAAAUCCUAGCAUCGUCCAGCGGAUGCGGCGUUUGCCCAGCGAGCCGCGCGGUGCCGCCGACGAGGAGUCGUCGUCCUUGAUCUCGCCCUCCUCCCUCUCCUCCGGACCCUCCGAUGCGGGCCGCGUCUCCGUGUCCUCGGCCAUGCCCGCUCGCCGCCGCACGCCCCGUCGGCUGCCCGACACCCGCGCGACCCCGCCCGCUGUCAGAGGCCGUCGCCCUCGCCCGCUGCCGGAGACCCCGGCCCACGGCCGCCGCCCCUCGUCCGUUGCGGGAUACUCGCGAGCGCGCCGCCCGCUCGCCUCGUCCACUGCGUCACAGGGCGACAUCCCUCGGCAGCGCCCCGCUCCCCGUGCUGCCCACCGCGAACCCCGGCCAGUGCGCCCUCCCUUGGCGGCGUCUACGUUUGGGCAAAGUCGAGCCAGCGGGCGUCGCCUGGCUCCCCUCCUCCGGGCGGCCAUGGAGGAGCCAUGCACUGCUAAUACGUCGGAUGAUGAAGACGACGGGUGAUCGUGAUGGUGACACCCAGAGCUAGAAGGCCACGAGGAGUUCAAUAUGAGAUGUGUGGGACUUGAUAAAGCUUGGAGAUUAUGUUAGUGCAAGGGACGAUGUCGAUCCCUCUAGGAUAGGGAUUGCUGGUUAAUCACUCGGAGGAAUGCAUGCAUGCUUUGCUGCUUUUGUGGAUACACGGUACAAUGUUGUUCUUCCAAUAAUUGGUGUUCAGGGAUUUCAAUGGGCAGUAGAUAAUGACAUGUGGCAAGCUAGAGUUGAUAGCACUAAGCAUUUAUUUGAAGAAGCAAGAAUUGAUUCAGGGAAGAGUGAAAUAGAUGCAGAGGUUGUGAACAAGGUUUGGGAUAAGAUAGCACCUUCUAUGGCUUAACAGUUUGAUGCUCCCUACUCAGUUCCUCUGAUUGCACCAUGUCCACUCCUCCUAAAUGGUGCUGACGACCCUCAUUGCCCAGUCCUUGGUCUACAAGAACCUGCCUCCAAAGCUGCUGAGGCUUAUGCAGAAGCUAGUUCUGCGGAUAAGUUCAAGAUUUCUUGCAUGGAGAGGAGCGUUGCGAUGACAGCCCCGGAACCUACGCAAUGGUGAUAGCAGCCUCACGAAGAUGGGAGUUAUCCAGGUCGGCUAUUCCUGUGAGAAAUGGAGUCCCAUAAACACUGAUGAACCACAAACCGCUUCCGCCAGCAGCCACUAGAAACCUUGUGUUGUACUCAUAGGCCAGAAU